GGAGGAUUUUUCCACUGGUGCAAAAAAAGGGUUCUGAGAAUUCUUUUUUACACAGGAAAAUACAGAGACAACGGCCACGGGGGCUGAAGGGCUCAGCCUGGGCUCCUUGCUCUGGGAACCAGCCCUUAGGUCAGUGGUGGAUAAUCCAAACUGGGGGGGGAAAUCAAGGGUCUGGUGCCCAGCUGUUGCAAAUUAGUCAAAUUGUUAAGAUUUUAAUGAGUUUGACAACUGAAAUCGCCUGUGCUGAUAAUUCCCUUGCACGUUCCUGGGGAGAGGCAUUGUAAGAAGAAGAAGGGCAAGUUGUUCCUCUUGGAAAUCCUUUCACCUUCUUUAUGCAGAGAGGAAAGAUAUCAGGGAAGCUGAGCUCUGGAUGGUCUCUGUGGGUUGGAGGAACUUUGAGACAGGGAUCUGGCUUGGCUCUGUGGUGGUAUUAGGGAGUAGGAUUAUCUCCCUAUCCAAGUAGGGUAAAUCAGGAGGAAAAUGUACUGAAGUGGUGGGAAUGAGCCAUCAGGGCAGCAGAACAGCCUGUGCCAUGGGGAAACAGCAGCAGGAGAGGUCCUGGGGGGCUGGAAAGGGAGAUUUGACCCUGCUCAGAGGCUCUGGCCAGCCUGGGAAUGCACUAUCCUAUUAUUCUGGGAUUCUGUGACCCUGCAGGUUUGCAUGAGCUCCAGGAGCAACCUCCUGGCAUGGGGGAAUCCCUGCUGGCUGUGCCCUGCCCAGGACAAGGGACAUCAUUUGGGGUCAGCUCUGGUAAGUCACAAAACCCCCAGGGCUGGGACCCCAACUCCAGUUCAAGACAUGGGAACCCCCGUCAACAAUGAUGUGUAAAAUCAGCAGAAAAACUGCUUUCCUCUCUCCUUGGAUUCCUUGUCCUGCUUGCAGGAAUCAGGGACCCUUCCCUCCACUGGGGAGCCAGAAGGAUCCCCAGUCUCGGCCAACCUUUUGUCUUGGUACAGCCCUGGCCUUUGUGCUUUGUAUUAAUUUAAGAUGCUGUGAAGUGAGAGCUGUGGGGGUGGGAGAUGCUGUCUAAAACUUGUUCAGAGCCUUUGCUGGAUAAAUCCCCGUGGAAUUUCAUUUAAACGAGCUGACACCAGUAUGAAUCAUGCCAGCAUUACCCUCUCUCCAGCACUUCCUACCAACUGCCUGCAGGGCUCUUGCUUUUUCAAGUGAAGACUAAAAGCAUCUAAAACUGUUUAAGACCCAAAAGUCUUAAAAUAAUAGGUUGGGGUUUUUUUGGUUUUUUGGGGUUUUUUUUUGUUUUCACUGUGGAAGAAACAACAUCUGCUAUAAAAAUCUGCUGGCCAGGGGCAGUGGGAGCGGAUACCACUUAUCAGGGGUUGGAAAGUGCCUCAGCCCUGGGCCCCAUGAUCCCAGAGUGGUGUCUCAUCUGUCUGCAAGCUGGACAGAUUAGAUGUACACAGAGAGGAUGGAGAAGUAGGGAUAAAAGAAGGGACACGGGGAAUUCGGUGGAAGGAGGAAGGAAAUGAAAGCAAGACUUCCAGGAAAGGGAAGGAGACAACACUGUAUUUAUAAAUAUGUACCUGGGCUUAAGUGAAGGCUCCUAAAAGCUGCUGGGACACAGUCAGGCUGCUUUGGAAUAAAAUUCACGAGGUAGAGUGUCUGUUCCCCGGAUUUAACUGAAGAGUGACAUCUCUUCAGAGGCAGGAAAGUGGUCAGGAGUAAGCAUGAAACAUGUAAGAUUGCAGAAUUCAAAAGGAUAAACAUUAUUUGAUACCUUAUUUAUAGGGCACCACAGGGGAAAGGUAAAGGUUUCAGAAAAGAAAGAAGCACUUUAAUUUUAUCUGGAGAUUUUCCAACAAUAAAAUCUAAUCCAUCAUUCUCCGUGUGUGACUGCUCUUAAUGAAAAUUUAGAGGCUGUGAGUGAAAUUUAGAAUUCCCAGGGGAUACUAUUAGGAAGAUGUCUAGCAGCUAUGCAAAACCUGUUAGAUCAGAGCCCUGCCAAGGGCCGGGAAGAGUGGAGUGUGAAAGGAUAGCUUUUAAUUCCAUGUGCCGGGGCUCUGCAGGGCCCAGCCUUCCUCUCCUGGGUGGCAGCAGCACUCCUGGGAUGGCUCCCACCAGGAUCAGCUCACUGGGGGAUUUCAAAGAGACAAGACUUGGCCCAUUUACAUUUAUUUUUCCCCCAAAGAUCCUCUGCAGUGAUGAGAGUAGUUGAUCUCCUCUCUUCUCCCCUCCUCUCCAGGUUUCUUGCCCAGAUUUAGUGAUCACAGUUAGGAGCUUUCCAAAAAGCAGAGUGAACCUAUUUCAUCAGAGAAUCAUGGAAUGGGUUGGGUUGGAAAGGAUUUUAAAGAUCAUCCCAUUCCAUGGGCAGGGACACCUUCCACCAGACCAGGUUCAAACUUUGGACACCUCAGCCCAUCUUGGAGCUGCAGAGAGCCACAAAUUGCCUCUCAGCCUGACCCCAAGAUGAGCCCCAGCCUCGUGCAACAUCAAAAAAACAAGACCCCGUGGAAUGUGUGACCUUUCAUGGCAGAUGAUUUCCAAUCAUAGGACUCUGUUGGAUCUGAGUAAUUAAGGACAAGACAGGCCUGAAACUGCUCUGCCUGCAGACAGGAGGAGCCUGCAGAGUUCCCUGUUCCCAAAAGCAGGGCUGUGAGAUCUGAGAGCAGGGGCAGCACGGCCGGGUUGUUCCUGCCUCGGCUCCAGAGGGAACGUCCUCACUCCGAGGCUGGAAGGUGGGUGAGGAAAGGGUCAAAACACAUCCCCCCAACUGCAGGAGGAGAAGAAUGUUGGCAGAGCAAACCUUGCCACAGGAAUAAAAGGUUGUCCUGCCUGUUCAUAUUACUCCACACGGGAUGAGUAAAACUGUCGGUCGGUCGGUCGGAGUGAAGCGUCUGAUACACAAAAGGGAAUAAAAACUCAUUAAAGGGCUGAAAGAAAACCCUGUUAAAAUAGUGAAUAUACAAUGGAGGAGACUUGAUCACCCUCGUGCUCGAGGAGUGUCAGGCUUUGAAGGAAUCUGAUUUUUUUUUCCCCCUGAAAGCAGCGGAAAUGCGCUCUGUGGGGAGC
Molecule: long non-coding RNA, 3027 nt
Organism: Corapipo altera (White-ruffed manakin)
Lineage: Eukaryota; Metazoa; Chordata; Aves; Passeriformes; Pipridae
Exons: 3
Source: RefSeq, a predicted model, not a curated record